This 122-nucleotide non-coding RNA is filed under the name Cupriavidus necator. Its description in RNAcentral is "Burkholderia RNA 11". It matches the Rfam family "Burkholderia RNA 11". From Rfam's summary of the family: Co-purified with Hfq, expression confirmed by Northern blot. Predicted target marZ. The record is from RNAcentral. Lineage: Bacteria; Pseudomonadati; Pseudomonadota; Betaproteobacteria; Burkholderiales; Burkholderiaceae. RNAcentral also lists the same sequence under 1 other name.
GCAACCUGGUGCUGGCGCGUGGCAACCGCACGGUAUUCCUGAGCCUGCUCGGCAUUUCGUGGCUGUGGUUCCUGGGCGCCACCUUCCUGACCUCGUUCUUCAGCUAUGCCAAGGAUGUGCUG